Amazona aestiva (blue-fronted amazon) is the source of this 115-nucleotide ribosomal RNA. NCBI's taxonomy places the organism in Eukaryota, Metazoa, Chordata, Aves, Psittaciformes, Psittacidae. The record is from Rfam.
UACGGCGGCACCACUCCAGAAAGAGCCCGAUCCCGUCAGAUCUCGGAAGCUAAGCGGGGUAGGGCUCGGUUAGUCCAAGGAUGGGAGACCUGCCUUGCGUCGGAUCCGUCCGUGC